Long non-coding RNA from Fukomys damarensis (Damara mole-rat), 1398 nucleotides. RefSeq lists it as uncharacterized. Lineage: Eukaryota; Metazoa; Chordata; Mammalia; Rodentia; Bathyergidae. The transcript is spliced from 3 exons. The record is from RefSeq and is a predicted model, not a curated record.
GGGGAUGAUGGCAUCACUUGUCUGAGAGUUGCUGAGAAGACAAAUGAGACCGUCAUCCACGGCCUGCGGGCACAGACACAGAGAGUACCUGCCCGAGAUGCACACGCAUCUUCUUCUGGGGCUCCCAGGCCACCCAGCCUGUGGGGUGCCUGUGAGCUGUGUCCCAAUCUCUCCUCAUUCUAGUAACCAGUUGGCUGGCUCGAUGAUUCAAUAAAAAGAAACAAUACGGGAGAGAAGACAAAAGAUGAUGGUCAAAUUCCCCGGGAUUCCUCCCGUCCUAAAGCACAGCAGCAUUUCCAGGGGUUGUGGGAAUGUGUGCAGUCCACCUGCAGGGCACUGGGAUUAUCUGAGAGUUCACAUCCCCCCAGGUGACGCUCCACCAGCGAGGGGCGGCAGGUGGCGGACGGAUGUCUCAGCUUCCGGUCUCCGUCUCCGCCAGACUCAAGUUUCCUCUGAGCGUUCCCGCAGGGUCCUCAGCAGGAGGGCAUCACAGCAGCCCAGGAGAGGAGCACACUCCUGAGCACACCCUCUCCUCGCUGCUUCCUAGGACCAAAGCUUCAUGACAGAGUGGUAGUUAGGAAGCCACGCUCCGGGUCCACGGCUGGCAUCACAGGUCUCGCACCUGCCGCCCACGCCGUCUUGCACACAUUACACCAACUUCUUCAAGCUUCACUUUCCCGCCUGCGAAGUGGAGAAGAAGGCUGACGCCCCGCACUGAGCUGCUCCGGAGGUCUGCUGGCACCUUCUGCACCGGGCAGUCAGCCCCUCAUCCGGGGCCUCAUCGGUGGCCGCUGCGGUGGGAACUCCCUGAGACCCUGCUCUCCGCCCAUUCGAGUUGCCUGCUACAGCUUGUUUCUGUUCUUGUUCACCACUCAGCCCGCUUCCAUGUUUGUGACCUGCCUCUAGUAUCCACUUCACUGUCUUAAAAUAAAAACUUUUAAAACAUCAGCCUCUUUCCACUUUCAGAGCAGUGCGCUGGCGGCAUGGGGAAAGCCCCCCAGCGCCCCCUUCCACACUCACCCCUCUCUGUCCCCAGCUGCUGUCUGUGCUGGCCGGUGGUUGAUCCCCAGUAGCCGAGAAAACAUGAAUAAAAUGUGGGGAACCAAGUGACCACCGUCCCCUUCAUGCGCAUAACCUGUGUGAUACUUGUCCUGGGAAUGUGGCUUGGACAACUGAAUCUAUUUCCGCCAUGAUUAGGCUCCAUGCAGCAAAGGUGGAAAGACUGGGUCACUGAGGUCGUGUCGUCACUGGGUUGGCUUUGAGUUCGAGAGGGAAUUCCUGCAUACCCACACUUCCUGCGGCUCGGUUCACAACAGCUAAACUGUGGAAGCAGCCUGGUGCCCACCAACAGAUAAAUGAAUAAAGAACAUACACGGUGGAGGAUUACUCAGCAGUGAG